RNAcentral lists this ribosomal RNA (545 nucleotides) under uncultured bacterium. RNAcentral describes it as "partial 16S ribosomal RNA". It matches the Rfam family "Bacterial small subunit ribosomal RNA", at positions 355 to 889 of the family's 1533-position model. The record is from RNAcentral.
UGGGGAAUCUUCCGCAAUGGACGAAAGUCUGACGGAGCAACGCCGCGUGAGUGAAGAAGGUUUUCGGAUCGUAAAACUCUGUCUUUUGGGGCGAACGUGAGUAUGGUGAACAAUCAUAGUCAGUGACGGUACCAAAGGAGGAAGCCACGGCUAACUACGUGCCAGCAGCCGCGGUAAUACGUAGGUGGCAAGCGUUGUCCGGAAUUAUUGGGCGUAAAGAGCGCGUAGGCGGGAUAGUCAGUCUGUUGUAAAGUGCGGGGCUCAACCCCGUGAUCGCAAUGGAAACAGCUAUUCUUGAGUGCAGGAGAGGAAAGUGGAAUUCCCAGUGUAGCGGUGAAAUGCGUAGAUAUUGGGAGGAACACCAGUGGCGAAGGCGACUUUCUGGACUGUGUCUGACGCUGAGGCGCGAAAGCCAGGGGAGCGAACGGGGAUUAGAUACCCCCGGUAGUCCUGGCCGUAAACGAUGGGUACUAGGUGUGGGAGGUAUCGACCCCUUCCGUGCCGGAGUUAACGCAAUAAGUACCCCGCCUGGGGAGUACGGUCGC